RNAcentral lists this ribosomal RNA (742 nucleotides) under fungal sp. RNAcentral describes it as "eukaryotic LSU rRNA". The stretch from base 472 to 742 matches the Rfam family "Eukaryotic large subunit ribosomal RNA", at positions 1 to 277 of the family's 3401-position model. Lineage: Eukaryota; Fungi. The record is from RNAcentral.
UUACGAGAGUGUCACCACUCCCAACCCAUUGUUUACCUACCCGUCCACCGUGCUUCGGCAGGCAGUCCUGUGGGACAGGGCCUCGCCCCCGCGAGGGGGUGCCUGCCGCUGGCCAACCAAAAAUUCUAGCUGUUUUUGUACCAUCUGAGUCUUCCACAAAUAAACAAAACUUUCAACAACGGAUCUCUUGGUUCUGGCAUCGAUGAAGAACGCAGCGAAAUGCGAUAAGUAAUGUGAAUUGCAGAAUUCAGUGAAUCAUCGAAUCUUUGAACGCACAUUGCGCCCACUAGUAUUCUGGUGGGCAUGCCUGUUCGAGCGUCAUUUCAACCCUCAAGCCUGGCUUGGUGUUGGGGCUCUGCGUCUGCAGUCCCUUAAAUCCAGUGGCGGACACGCUAGGUCUCCGAGCGCAGUAGUUUCUCCUCGCUCAGGGCGUCCGGCGUGGGCUUGCCUCGCACCCAUCUUUUACAAGGUUGACCUCGGAUCAGGUAGGAAUACCCGCUGAACUUAAGCAUAUCAAUAAGCGGAGGAAAAGAAACCAACAGGGAUUGCCCCAGUAACGGCGAGUGAAGCGGCAACAGCUCAAAUUUGAAAUCUGGCGCAAGCCCGAGUUGUAAUUUGCAGAGGAUGCUUUUGGCGCGGUGCCUUCUGAGUUCCCUGGAACGGGACGCCGGAGAGGGUGAGAGCCCCGUACAGUUGGACACCAAGCCUUUGUAAAGCUCCUUCGACGAGUCGAGUAGUUUGG